GGGGAUAUAGCUCAGUGGUAGAGUACUAGCCUAGUAUGUUUGAGACUCUGGGUUCAAUUCCUAAUACCACUA
This 72-nucleotide transfer RNA is filed under the name Urocitellus parryii (Arctic ground squirrel). RNAcentral's name for it is "Spermophilus parryii (Arctic ground squirrel) tRNA". It matches the Rfam family "tRNA". From Rfam's summary of the family: Transfer RNA (tRNA) molecules are approximately 80 nucleotides in length. Their secondary structure includes four short double-helical elements and three loops (D, anti-codon, and T loops). RNAcentral also lists the same sequence under 1 other name. Lineage: Eukaryota; Metazoa; Chordata; Mammalia; Rodentia; Sciuridae. The record is from Rfam by way of RNAcentral.